This 975-nucleotide long non-coding RNA is filed under the name Equus caballus (horse). RNAcentral describes it as "lncRNA (ENSECAG00000055248.1)". Lineage: Eukaryota; Metazoa; Chordata; Mammalia; Perissodactyla; Equidae. The record is from RNAcentral.
CUGUUUAAAGCCAACCCACUCAUUUCAGACUUAAGAAAUCAGCUCUUGAAAAUUCUCAGAAAUUUUAAUAUGCUUGUCAGGAAUCUGUGGGCCUCCUUGAAUUUUCCUAUAAAAAUCUAAAUACCCCAGCUAUAAUUUUGAGAUAUCCUCUUCGCUCUACAUAGGCAGCUGGCGAAGAUGACCUUGUCUUGGUUCAGCUUCAGAAGUCAGAAGGCUUAGAAUCUAGGUUCUAGGGGAGAAUCCAUUUUCUUGUACUUUCCAGCUUCUAGAGGGUCUAGAGGACACCCAUUCCUUGACUCAUGGCCCCCUGACUGUAUCUUCAAAGCAGAAGCUAGGUUCAUCUCCUGACAGGCUGAAUCAGAAAGACUCCAGAUUCGGGGACUCCAAGCACAGCCGGACUAUGAGGUAUCAUGCUGAGGCAGGAAGUUUUAAAGGAGCAAAAACACCUGGGCAGAAAUAAGCGCACACAAACGUAGUUAACUUAUCUUUGACGAAGGAGCAAAGACAAUAUAAUGGAGGAAACAUAGUCUUUUCAACAAAUGGUGCUGUCAAUAUAUACUCCCACCAACACUAUAGGGGUAUACAAGAAGGUAAUCAAUAAAAGACUUUCAAAAAUAAAAAUGUAACACGUCAGAACAAAAUUCACUCUGGGAUCCAGUAUGAUGGAACAAUCUUUAUCUAGAUUGUUACCAGAGGGAACAGAAUGCUGCUUUCCCUUUGAGUUGACUCAACGUUUCUGUUCAGAAGUGACCGUCACCUUUUCUCACGUUUCAUUGGCCAAAGCAGAUCACAAAGCUGACGUUAAUGCUCGACUGUUCCCAAGAGGAGAAGUGAAUAUUUUUGAAUAAUAAUAUAAUCUCACACAGAUGUCAGCUUAAAAAUACAUGGAUACAUACAUUUUCAAAGUUAUUUCAGCAGAUAUAUGAGCAAAAACUUUGAAGACUACUGAGUUACAGCAAAUAACACCGUCUUAUU